GUCCAGGGAUGGGAAUCGAAAUCACUUGUGUGUUCCGCUUACCGGGCAGAUGCCAUGUCCUCUAGGCUACCCUAGA
Molecule: transfer RNA, 76 nt
Filed under: Cordylochernes scorpioides
Lineage: Eukaryota; Metazoa; Arthropoda; Arachnida; Pseudoscorpiones; Chernetidae
Description: tRNA-Thr
Source: RNAcentral